GCCCCGAUAGUUCAAUGGAUAGAACGCUGGCCUUCUAAGCCGGAGAUGUAGGUUCGACUCCUACUCGGGGUA
RNAcentral lists this transfer RNA (72 nucleotides) under Parcubacteria group bacterium QH_9_35_7. Its description in RNAcentral is "tRNA-Arg". It matches the Rfam family "tRNA". Rfam says of the family: Transfer RNA (tRNA) molecules are approximately 80 nucleotides in length. Their secondary structure includes four short double-helical elements and three loops (D, anti-codon, and T loops). The record is from RNAcentral.